AACGAACGCUGGCGGCAGGCUUAACACAUGCAAGUCGAACGCUCGUAGCAAUACGGGAGUGGCAGACUGGUGAGUAACGCGUGGGUGACCUGCCCUUGAGUUGGGGAUAGCCAUUAGAAAUAGUGGAUAAUACCGAAUACGAUCGCUGUCACUGUGGUGAUGCGAUGAAAGGAGCUACGGCUCCACUCGAGGAUGGGCCCGCGUCCCAUUAGCUAGUUGGUGAGGUAACGGCCCACCAAGGCGACGAUGGGUAUCCGGCCUGAGAGGGUGUACGGACACAUUGGGACUGAGAUACGGCCCAAACUCCUACGGGAGGCAGCAGCUAAGAAUAUUCCGCAAUGGACGAAAGUCUGACGGAGCGACGCCGCGUGGAUGAAGAAGGCCGAAAGGUUGUAAAAUCCUUUUGCUGAUGAAGAAUAAAUGGAGUAGGGAAUGAUUCCAUGAUGACAUUAGUCGGUGAAUAAGCCCCGGCUAACUACGUGCCAGCAGCCGCGGUAACACGUAGGGGGCAAGCGUUGUUCGGAAUUAUUGGGCGUAAAGGGCAUGUAGGCGGUUUUGUAAGCCUGGUGUGAAAUCCUGCAGCUUAACUGUAGAAUUGCAUUGGGUACUGCAAGACUUGAAUCACAGAGGGGAAACUAGAAUUCCAGGUGUAGGGGUGGAAUCUGUAGAUAUCUGGAAGAAUACCGGUGGCGAAGGCGGGUUUCUAGCUGAUGGUUGACGCUGAGGUGCGAAAGUGCGGGGAGCAAACAGGAUUAGAUACCCUGGUAGUCCGCACCGUAAACGAUGUACACUAGGUGUCGGGGCAUGAGUCUCGGUGCCAAAGCUAACGUGUUAAGUGUACCGCCUGGGAAGUAUGCUCGCAAGGGUG
Molecule: ribosomal RNA, 868 nt
Filed under: uncultured bacterium
Lineage: Bacteria
Description: bacterial SSU rRNA
Rfam family: Bacterial small subunit ribosomal RNA
Source: RNAcentral